Molecule: ribosomal RNA, 433 nt
Filed under: uncultured bacterium
Lineage: Bacteria
Description: partial 16S ribosomal RNA
Rfam family: Bacterial small subunit ribosomal RNA
Source: RNAcentral
AACGAACGCUGGCGGCAUGCCUAACACAUGCAAGUCGAACGAGACCUUCGGGUCUAGUGGCGCACGGGUGCGUAACGCGUGGGAACCUGCCCUUAGGUUCGGAAUAACUCCCCGAAAGGGGUGCUAAUACCGGAUAAUGUCUUCGGACCAAAGAUUUAUCGCCUUUGGAUGGGCCCGCGUUGGAUUAGCUAGUUGUUAGGGUAAAAGCCUACCAAGGCGACGAUCCAUAGCUGGUCUGAGAGGAUGAUCAGCCACACUGGGACUGAGACACGGCCCAGACUCCUACGGGAGGCAGCAGUGGGGAAUAUUGGACAAUGGGCGAAAGCAUGAUCCAGCAAUGCCGCGUGAGUGAUGAAGGCCUUAGGGUUGUAAAGCUCUUUUAACCGGGAUGAUAAUGACAGUACCGGGAGAAUAAGCCCCGGCUAACUCCGUG